UACGAAGGGGGCUAGCGUUGCUCGGAAUCACUGGGCGUAAAGCGCACGUAGGCGGACUCUUAAGUCGGGGGUGAAAUCCUGGAGCUCAACUCCAGAACUGCCUUCGAUACUGAGAGUCUUGAGUCCGGGAGAGGUGAGUGGAACUGCGAGUGUAGAGGUGAAAUUCGUAGAUAUCGGAGGAACACCAGAGCGAAGGCGGCCACUGGAGACCGAUAC
This 216-nucleotide ribosomal RNA is filed under the name uncultured bacterium. Its description in RNAcentral is "partial 16S ribosomal RNA". It matches the Rfam family "Bacterial small subunit ribosomal RNA", at positions 524 to 740 of the family's 1533-position model. The record is from RNAcentral.